Molecule: transfer RNA, 63 nt
Filed under: Chrysomeloidea sp. 8 KM-2017
Lineage: Eukaryota; Metazoa; Arthropoda; Insecta; Coleoptera
Description: tRNA-Glu
Source: RNAcentral
AUUUAUAUAGUUUAAACAAAACAUUACUUUUUCAAAGUAAAAUUAGAAGUAAUCUUAUAAAUA